RNAcentral lists this ribosomal RNA (497 nucleotides) under uncultured bacterium. Its description in RNAcentral is "partial 16S ribosomal RNA". It matches the Rfam family "Bacterial small subunit ribosomal RNA", at positions 28 to 507 of the family's 1533-position model. The record is from RNAcentral.
GAUGAACGCUGGCGGCGUGCCUAAUACAUGCAAGUCGAGCGAACAGACGAGGAGCUUGCUCCUCUGACGUUAGCGGCGGACGGGUGAGUAACACGUGGAUAACCUACCUAUAAGACUGGGAUAACUUCGGGUAACCGGAGCUAAUACCGGAUAACAUGUUGAACCGCAUGGUUCAACAGUGAAAGACGGUCUUGCUGUCACUUAUAGAUGGAUCCGCGCCGCAUUAGCUAGUUGGUAAGGUAACGGCUUACCAAGGCAACGAUGCGUAGCCGACCUGAGGGGGUGAUCGGCCACACUGGAACUGAGACACGGUCCAGACUCCUACGGGAGGCAGCAGUAGGGAAUCUUCCGCAAUGGGCGAAAGCCUGACGGAGCAACGCCGCGUGAGUGAAGAAGGUCUUCGGAUCGUAAAACUCUGUUAUUAGGGAAGAACAAAUGUGUAAGUAACUAUGCACGUCUUGACGGUACCUAAUCAGAAAGCCACGGCUAACUACGUG